UCCUGAAAGAGACUGCCAAGCUCCGAGAGUGGCUUCGGGUGUCCUUUUACUUCAUCUCUGCCCUUUCCUCUGCUUCAGUGGAUGCAAGAGGCAAGCAAGGCUGUCAGAGUGGCUUUGGGGCCAUCCAGGAAUAUUAAAGCACUUGUCUGUAUCUGUGUACCAAGUGGCUGUACCACACCCCAGCAUCUGUCUGUCUCCAGAAGUAGAAGAUCAGAAGUAUACUGAAUCACAUCAAAAAAGACACCUGGUAGACAAGAAAACUUUGAUCUUACUAAUGACAGGACCUACUGGCUGGAAUCUGCAGCUCACAGUUAUUAUGAGAAGCAAGGAAUUGAGCUAUUCAGGACUGUAGCAUUCCGAUUCCAAGUGCGUUCUGUCUGCUGGAUUGUGUCAGUGCCCUCUAGUGACUAAUUCCCUGAACUGUGUUGGGUUUUCACUGGAGAGAGACAUCGAAGGGGUGGUUGUCUGCUGAGAGCCGGAGACAGGUAAAUCUCCUCAUAUUAUUUUUAGGGCAGCACUAGUUUGUCCUGCAGAAGCAAAAAGAAACGCUCACUGAGCAUUUCUGAAUGCAUGCACACUGCUACUGUGGAAAUAGCACGUCUGAAACAAAGCACGAGUCAAAUCAAGUGCAAACCAGUGGAACUAAAACUACUGGGCUGUCGCUGCGCAACACUUGAAUGGUUUCAGUGAAGUGUGGAAUUAGUGACAUUUUGCUGAAUAAUUAUCCUCUGAGGCUUGAGAAGGGGUCACAGGAUUCUGGUUUUCAUCUGAUACAGCAGCUGUAGGCUGGGCUGAUAGAUUACUGACAUUUCUUCUGUAUGGUGACAGCAUGCCAGGUUUUAGAAAACCAAAUUGGUUCUUUCCUAAAGACUUUUCUUGUUUAGUAGUGGGAGCAUUUCUGUCUUUUCCUAUUAUUAGAGCUUUACACACAGUGUUGUGCACUGUAGUUGCUGGCACACUUGUCAGGGGGCAUCCUGAAGAUAACUCUUGAUGGAUUGUUUCAGGAGCAUGGCCUCACCUUUACCUGAAAGGAAUACGGUAGAUUUGCUCUGUUCCUGGAAAGGAUGGGAGCAGAGACAAACUCCUUUUGUACUUUUCGUUACAAUCACACAAGUGCAGAGUUAGGAAGUGCAGAGGCAGUUGUCAGUUGUCAGUUGUCAGUUCUUAAAAGGAACGUACUUGUUCCUUUUAAAAUUCAUGUUCUUGUAUAGUAGUUCACUAUAUUAAAUUUCUCAAUGAAUUGACAACUCAAUGCAAAUAGAUCAGUGCUGUUACCAUUGCUGUUCAUUCUGCUGCAAAAUACUGUGGUUUGUUUCUGCUGGUGGUUUUGGGGGGAAGAGGGUGUUUGCCUGUGUUUUUCCUUCUUUCAAGUAAAAAUUCAAGUGCCCUUUUAAAUGUUUAAUUGCAUCCAUUAAUAUAGCCAGCGUAGGAGUUUGGUGAAUCCAGGCUCAGGAACUGAUUUAUCUGGACUAUUAAAAUCGUAUGACAGGUAUGCUAAGGGCCAGAUACGGAGGUGGUGUGCAAACUGGCAUAUAUGAGACUUCUUUAUGUUCUUACAUUGUAUUAGCUUCCCACCGGCUUCCCUGCACCUACUCAGUUGGCAUAUAAGGGAUGCUAGGGCGGUGUAAUUUACGCGGUAAGCUCUUCUUACCAUAUAAGCAUUAAGAACGUAUAAUUGAAAUGCAUAUCACCUUGUUUGAACUCACUUCCUUUUUUCUGUCUUACUUUGUAUUUGCACUGACAAUACCAUAGGACAUAGACCUUAC
Molecule: long non-coding RNA, 1766 nt
Organism: Strigops habroptila (Kakapo)
Lineage: Eukaryota; Metazoa; Chordata; Aves; Psittaciformes; Psittacidae
Source: Ensembl